RNAcentral lists this ribosomal RNA (253 nucleotides) under uncultured bacterium. RNAcentral describes it as "partial 16S ribosomal RNA". It matches the Rfam family "Bacterial small subunit ribosomal RNA", at positions 796 to 1041 of the family's 1533-position model. The record is from RNAcentral.
CUAGCCGUAAACGAUGGGCACUAAGUAGGGGAGGUUCUGACGCCUUCCCUGCCGGAGCUAAUGUAUUAAGUGCCCCGCCUGGGGAGUAUGGUCGCAAGGCUAAAACUCAAAGGAAUUGACGGGGGCUCACACAAGCGGUGGAGCAUGUGGUUUAAUUCGAAGCAACGCGCAGAACCUUACCUGGGCUUGACAUGCUUAGUGUAGCUUGGUGAAAGCCGAGCGAACCGGGUAACCGGAAACUUUGCACAGGUGC